UGUGUGAAAUAUCAAUAUAAUUUUUUAGCUGAACAUCUCUGCAUUUUUUUAAAAAUAACUCACUUGUUUCAUGGGGGAAACACACCAGUGAAGUUGAUCUGCGUGGGGCGGUACUACUGGCUUUAGUUUGUAGCAGAUAGAUGAUAGGAGUCAGCCAGUCACUGUGAGCUCAUUGUAUUGAGCCUUCUAUAGACUUCUACCAAAAAAUCACGGAACCUUCUUAGACUGAGACCAAAAUGGGCUGCAAUACCAGUAAGAGCACGGCAGUUGUGGAAUCUGUCCAAAAACCUGGAGAACAGCCUGAGGAAGAAGAAAAAGAUGAUCCUUGUACAGAAACAACUGCUGAUGCUGCCCAGAAUUGGGCUCUGAAGGACAGUGCUUGUGACAGAACAAGUUGAAAUAGGAUAUUGAUGUACCUCAAAUACAAACUGCAGCUAUGAAGUAAGCAACUUAAUUAUUGGUGUUCUGUGCUUGAAGGGAUUGAUCUUUGUAUUACUGACAGACUGUGCAGAUCAAGUCGAGUUUCAUACAGGAUUUGAAGGAAAUCUGUAUUUACAGCCGAUGGUGCGAGAUGCCAUCGAAGUUGAUGGAUGUGAAUACUCAGAAGUCUGUGUGUUGCAGAAGAAGCAAGCCAUCAACAUCGCUUCCUGGAAACUUGCAAUGAAGUCUGAAGUAAUCUCAUGGAAAUCAAUGGAGCCCUAAAUCUAAGGCAUUAACUGACUUUUUAAAAAAGUAUAUGUAUGUAUCUGUUAAUUUUGACUCUGACAAAGUUUGUAUUGUAAUGACAAGUAUAAAUAGCAAUAAUAUAUGUUGAAUAAUCUGAAAAUGUUAUGCAAUCAACACUCUACUUCAGUAUAUACAAAUUCAACUACAUAUGAAGUUUUGUCUAUUCUCCAAACUGUGCGUGUUGAUCCAUUGAUGUGCCUUUGUAUUUACUAUAGCUCAUGAUCUGAUGCCUUGGAAUUUUGAGCAGUUUAAAAAUCCUGACUAUAAUCAGUCUUCAAUGUUGUUAAUGCAAAGAUGUGCAACAAUUCCUGUGCUUGAAGAUGUAAACCAAGUAAAUUAAUGUUGUAACAUAUUUGGUUCUGUCAGUUCUUAACAUGUGCAGUAUGCGAUGUGGUUAGACAUGCACACACCUAGGUGUACAUUUCUUUGUGAGCUGACCUAUACUUAACUUUGGACUGUUAAUUAAAGGACCGUCUGGCAUUUCCUAAAUAAUUUUCUCAUGAUUUAAGCACUUGUGAAUAGUGCUUAUGUAUGUCCAUUCUGAGAAGAUGAAAUCUUUAUUGUAUGUCCACUAAAUGGUGGAUGGCGUGCGUCUUUAAUGAAGUAUGGAACUCACUUUACAAGAGAGGCUGAAUGCCUGCUCUGUAAUAGCACUGAAUUUUUUUUUGAUUGCCAUAUGUAGCAACUCAAGAACAGUGUAUUUUGGAACUUUUUUCAUAAAUAAGACAUGUUUUAAAGUUAUUUCAGUAGCCUAUUCAUCUGAGUUUGGUGUCUGAUAGUUUUACCUCAUUCUACUUACCUAUUUUAAUUGCUUUGAACUAUUCUAGCUUGAAUGCAAAUAAGUUGAUUGAAAACAAGGAUGGUGAGAGGAAAAGAAACUUCUAGCUGUUUCUGAAUUGUGGACAAACUCUAGUAAGAGGAUCUGGCUUCAGCUCUCAAAGGGGCAUAUAUAUGAUAUAUCUGGCCAUCUGCCUAAGUAUCUGAGGGCUAGCUCUUUCUGAGGGAUGGCAGUGUAGCACUUCAAACUGACUAGGGGGUAAAGCUGGAUGUUUAAGACACUUCUUUUAAUUAAUGUACUUCUGAGCUUAAAAAAAAAAGUUUGUUUCAGCUUUUUCAGAUGUGCGUUGUCUUGGGUCAGUGUUUUUUACUUAAAAACUUAGCUUCUCUUAAAUCCUGUGUCUUAUGCAAAAGAAAACCUGCUGUCUCUUAAGGGGUAGCAUUAACCUUUGGGUAGAGAAGGAAUAACAGAAGGUGACUCCUCUGAAGGGUCUGUUUCUUGCUGUUGUGGGUAUCUCUAACAUGGAGUUGUAUGCUCAAUGAGUAGCCUGAGUUCAGUAAAUAUAAUUUAUUCAGUACGCCUGUUGGGCAUACCUCAGUUGGCAUGGAGGUGGUGGUGGGAAGCAGGAAAGAUCAGAUCUGUUACUACUUGCUGUGUGUUCAUUAUAGCCUCAAGAGCCAGUGAAGACAAGUUAAAGGGGGUUGGCACUUCCAAAUGGGAACUUGACACUUGGCAGAAUUAAGCCGUAAUUCAGCAGAUUGUUAGAGCUUUUCUUUAGCCAAAUGCAUGUUAGUUGGUGUUUUCGUAUGUCUGCAUUAGCAUGUCUUGUUUAAAUGCUGGUGACGCUCAUUUGAGAGUAUGAAAUAUAGCUGCUUUCACUGUGUAAACUGAGAAUUUAGCUAGAGCAACCUGUGCAUAAUUUCACUGCCAGUGUGUAGGCUGCCAGGCAGGGUAGCGGUGUUUGUACGGGGGUACGCCUAGCAACCUGAAGCUCCUGGGGGUCAAAUCCAGAAGUUUACAACAGGAGUUACCAUCACUGUAAGGACGUCUAACCGCUACACUUGUGGAGGGGCUAGUAUCUUACCUUAGAGUAAUAUGGGACAAUUAGUUUGAGAAGUUCAAAAAAUAAUUUGCAGGUGGUUCUUCAUCCGAGUGACUGGUGGCACCCAGGGCAUUUCAAAGGUGCGUGCAGCGUGGCUGGGGGUGGCAGGUGGCCAAUGCAAACAGCAGCCUGUGGCUGUUGGUUGUAUAUCUGGUAUGUAUGCAUUCUUCUCUCACGAACUGGAUCCUAUGUUCUUAGUGGUAGGUUGGGACCUGAGGUAUCUUUAUUUGAAUGGUCAUGUGGAGAACUUCAUGUCCUUCACUUUCCCAGUGACCCAGUGCAGUGUUACCUAAAGUGGUGUAUUUACAGCUUUACUCCCUGAUGGGAGGGCAAUGUUGUGCUUCCAGAACAAUCAUACUUCUUUCUGUUUGGAAUACCAGUUCAGAUCCUGCACUUUACAGCUGGCAGUUCUAACAUGAAUUUUUAAAAUGGCACUUGAUCCUCAAGUACUUAGCUUAAGGCAUUGACUAGAUGAUGAUUUAGCACUUCUUGAUACAGACUUUAAAUCACAGAACUUACUAUGUACACACUUCAAGCUACUAGUAAGAAAUUUUUUUAUAAUGUUCUAAGCGUAUUAUAUCCUGGAAGUUAAACAGAGGAUGGCAUAAGAUACCAAGCUAGUGGUACUCAGCAUCCUGAAGUUUCUCUUUAACAUUGCAUACAAGUACCUUGCUUCCUCUUUUCCCUAAGAGAUUAUCCUAUAACUGCUUUUUGGCUUCUUUCAGCUCAGGCUUAGGUCAUAUUCAACAGUGUCUCCCUUUCCCCACAAAAAAAAAAAACAACAAACUUAUAAAAUAUUGUCCUACCGCGUUCUUCAUGACUUACUUGCCUAGCAUAGCUAGUCUGCACAUGUCAGAGGAACUGCUCUGCAGAGCUAGGGAUUUCGGGUCUAGGCUGUUGUAAUAGAUGACCUGUAGUGAUACUGUCAGGGAGAUUCAGAUCCAUUUGUUCAUAUCUGAAAUGAUAUUGAGAACUGGAUCCACAUGCAGCAGCGUGGAGCCCUGGGCCGGGCUAGCUAGCUGUCUUGCUAGCAAUGUGUGUACUAGCUCAGAAGGAUGUGCGUUGUGCUCUGAUGCACCACAGACGCUGAAGGAAAGGAAAACUGUGUGGUAGGCACGUGAUCUUGGAGUCUGGUGUGAGAGUACUUGACCUCCAAACAUGAAGGGUUUUGUUGGUUUUGUUUUCGCUCUUCCUGCACUCCUACCAUCUACCUUAUUAUGUAAUCUUAUCUCUGGGAGUUGCUAUAUGCCCUUAUGUUGAGCUUUCUGUCUUUCGCAUUACUUCUCUGUCUCUGGGAGGGGAAAAACGGUUGGUUUAUUGCUUUACAUUCAAAGGAGGAGGAAAACAAUUAUGUGGGCAAGUGCUAGUAAAUAUCUAUUGAGCAAGUCUUUGAUAAGCAAAUAGUAGCAGAGAUGACUGAAAACUGCCAUACUGAGCAGGUGUUGGGGCUGUGUGGUCUUUUGUGUUCUGUCUGCGUAGCUCAGGUCCUCCUGCCGUCAAAAUAACACCAUUUUUAUAAUGAUGCUGAGAACAUGUUCAUUUAAUUUUGGCAUGUGGAUAAUUGAUUGUGAAAGCUAGAGUGGCAAAUGAGACGACAGAAUGGUUAAUAGAAAGUCUAUGGAGUCUUGCCAGUGAUCCCAGAAAUAAAAUAUUUGUCACAAUUUUGGAAACCAGAGCUGAUUUGGGGAUUGGAAAAUGUAAAAUAACUUUCUUCUAUGCAACCUUCAGUGGUCAUCCAACUUCCCAUCUUGUGCAAGGGAGUUGAUCCAUCUCCUGAGGGUCCAUAAUCAUACCUCCCUCACUCCUGAAAUGGAGUGUCUGCACUUAUGAGUUCAGUCUCUCACCUGUAAGCAUACUUACCCUAUUUUCUGUGCUGUUGUUACUUUCUACUGUUGUCUAUUGUGAAUAAAAAUAUAUUAUGAAAGCUUUUUGUUUUGUGGCUCCAUUGUUUUUUUAGAGCUGAAAUCACACAAAUGGUUCUUUUGUCUUAGCUGCUUGUAAAAUCUGAACAUGCCUUUGACUCAUGGUAUCCCUGUCUUUGCAAUUAGAUUCUUACUGGGCAUUACGUAAAUCCACUAUGCCAUCUAGCAGGAAGGGGAGAGUAAUGGGAAGGAGGUUUGUAAUGUUUUGUAACAGAUGGCCUUCAUCUGGCAUAUGUAAUUAAAGACACUCCUCACUUAGACGUUGCUGUGUCCCAGUAGUACCUUUUUUUU
Molecule: long non-coding RNA, 4819 nt
Organism: Oxyura jamaicensis (ruddy duck)
Lineage: Eukaryota; Metazoa; Chordata; Aves; Anseriformes; Anatidae
Exons: 2
Source: RefSeq, a predicted model, not a curated record